Molecule: long non-coding RNA, 663 nt
Organism: Magnolia sinica
Lineage: Eukaryota; Viridiplantae; Streptophyta; Magnoliopsida; Magnoliales; Magnoliaceae
Exons: 3
Source: RefSeq, a predicted model, not a curated record
AUUGAUUCAUUUUAUUUGAAAUUGCAUAUCGUUUGUAAGAAUUGUUUAAAGAGUUGUCACAUGUCAAUUUCUGUUUCUAUUGGAUUUAGAUGCUACCCUGUUUCUUUUAAUUUUUGGUUCUUUCUUAUGCUAGAAUAUGGGCUUCAGUAUGCUAUGUUACAUGAGUGCUUCAACUGGACCCUAGUACCUAGAUCAAGGCAGUGAUUUGGCAAGGUGAGAUUGCUUGAGUAAAUGCGGCUUUGGAUACAUUCAAGGCCAAAAGGGCAUUUCCUAUGCGCAUAAUUCGUGAGGAGGCAGCCAUGAUACGAUUGGAUAUGAGGUUGUUGUAUUCUGUCCCCUUGAGAAGACACAGGUACAUCUCAUUUUCUUGUGUCAUUAUUAACAGGCAACAGAUUCUCUCUUUUUUCUUUUCUUUUCCUUUUUAGUUAUCAAAAGUCACACUUGGAUGGUCAAAAUUUUGUGUUGAAUGUAAUUUUUGGUCUGUCCCAUCCAUGAAGUAGCCUGCCAGAUCAGAAGUCCCAACCACCACAAGUUUGUCUCAUGUAAUCUAAGAAGGGAUUUGAUAGAACUUACUACAAGUGCAUUAACAUCUAAUAUUAUCCUAUUUCUUUGCAUGAUAACAUUGUCAUAUUUAUAGACCCUUGUGCUGCAAUUCUUGUUCUC